This 492-nucleotide ribosomal RNA is filed under the name uncultured bacterium. RNAcentral's name for it is "partial 16S ribosomal RNA". It matches the Rfam family "Bacterial small subunit ribosomal RNA", at positions 29 to 507 of the family's 1533-position model. The record is from RNAcentral.
AGUGAACGCUGGCGGUAGGCCUAACACAUGCAAGUCGAACGGCAGCACAGUAAGAUCUUGUUCUAACGGGUGGCGAGUGGCGGACGGGUGAGGAAUACAUCGGAAUCUACUUUGUCGGGGGGGAUAACGUAGGGAAACGUACGCUAAUACCGCAUACGACCUACGUGUGAAAGCAGUGGAACUUCGGACCUUGCGCGAUUGAAUGAGCCGAUGUCGGAUUAGCUAUUUGGCGGGGUAAAGGCCCACCAAGCGGACGAUCCGGGCCUGGUCUGAGAGGAUGAUGAGCACCACUGGAACUGAGCACCGGCCCGGCCUCCUCCGGAAGGAGGCAGUGGGGAAUAUUGGACAUUGGGCGCAGGCCUACUCCACCCCUCCCCCGUAGGUGAGGAAGGCUUUCGGGUUUUAAAGCCCUUUUGUUGGGAAAGAAGAGCAGCAGGUUAAUACCCCCCUGUUCUGACGGUACCCUACGAGUAAGCACCGGCUAACUUCGUG